AAAGUCUGACCUGCCCAAUGAAUAUAUGAAUAUUUAAAUGGCUGCGGUAUUUUGACCGUACAAAGGUAGCAUAAUAAUUAGUUUUUUAAUUGAGAACUGGAAUGAAAGGUCGAACGAGAAAAAUACUGUCUCAAUUUAAUUUUAAUUUGAAUUUUAUAUUUAAGUAAAAAAGCUUAAAUAAUCUUAAAAGACGAGAAGACCCUAUAGAGUUUUAUAUUAUUUAUUAUUUAUUGAAUUAAAGUAUAUUAUUUUAGGAUAAUUUAGUGAUAUUUGAUUGGGGCGAUUAAAAAAUUUAAAUAACUUUUUUUAUAUUAUUACAUUGAUAUAUGAAUAAUUGAUCCA
This 342-nucleotide ribosomal RNA is filed under the name Catharsius sp. SM-2012. RNAcentral describes it as "partial 16S ribosomal RNA". The stretch from base 1 to 132 matches the Rfam family "Archaeal large subunit ribosomal RNA", at positions 1941 to 2099 of the family's 2987-position model. Lineage: Eukaryota; Metazoa; Arthropoda; Insecta; Coleoptera; Scarabaeidae. The record is from RNAcentral.